This 468-nucleotide ribosomal RNA is filed under the name uncultured bacterium. RNAcentral's name for it is "partial 16S ribosomal RNA". It matches the Rfam family "Bacterial small subunit ribosomal RNA", at positions 28 to 507 of the family's 1533-position model. The record is from RNAcentral.
GACGAACGCUGGCGGCGUGCUUAACACAUGCAAGUCGAACGGAAAGGCCCUGCUUUUGUGGUGUGCUCGAGUGGCGAACGGGUGAGUAACACGUGAGUAACCUGCCCUUGACUUUGGUAUAACUUCAGGAAACUGGGGCUAAUACCGGAUAGGAGCUCCUGCUGCAUGGUGGGGGUUGGAAAGUUUCGGCGGUUGGGGAUGGACUCGCGGCUUAUCAGCUUGUUGGUGGGGUAGUGGCUUACCAAGGCUUUGACGGGUAGCCGGCCUGAGAGGGUGACCGGCCACAUUGGGACUGAGAUACGGCCCAGACUCCUACGGGAGGCAGCAGUGGGGAAUAUUGCACAAUGGGCGGAAGCCUGGUGCAGCAACGCCGCGUGCGGGAUGACGGCCUUCGGGUUGUAAACCGCUUUCGCCUGUGACGAAGCGUGAGUGACGGUAAUGGGUAAAGAAGCACCGGCUAACUACGUG